This is a non-coding RNA of Gallus gallus (chicken), 78 nucleotides long. The record is from Rfam. Lineage: Eukaryota; Metazoa; Chordata; Aves; Galliformes; Phasianidae.
UAUGAAUCUAGUGGAAUCACUUCUGCACAAACUUGACUACUGAAAUCAGUGUGCGGAAAUGCUUCUGCUACAUUUUUA